GACGAACGCUGGCGGCGUGCCUAAUACAUGCAAGUAGAACGCACAGUUUAUACCGUAGCUUGCUACACCAUAGACUGUGAGUUGCGAACGGGUGAGUAACGCGUAGGUAACCUGCCUGGUAGCGGGGGAUAACUAUUGGAAACGAUAGCUAAUACCGCAUAAUAUUAAUUAUUGCAUGAUAAUUAAUUGAAAGGUGCAAUUGCACCACUACCAGAUGGACCUGCGUUGUAUUAGCUAGUAGGUGAGGUAACGGCUCACCUAGGCGACGAUACAUAGCCGACCUGAGAGGGUGAGCAGCCACACUGGGACUGAGACACGGCCCAGACGCCUACAGGAGGCAGCAAUAGGGAAACGUCGGCAAGGGGCGAAAGACAGAGCGAGCAACGCCGAGGGAGGAUAGAAGGUUGUCGGGUCGGAAAGCUCGGUUGUAAGAGAAGAACGGGCGUGAGAGUGGAAAGUUCACACUGUGACGGUAACUUACCAGAAAGGGACGGCUAACUACGUG
This 505-nucleotide ribosomal RNA is filed under the name uncultured bacterium. RNAcentral describes it as "partial 16S ribosomal RNA". It matches the Rfam family "Bacterial small subunit ribosomal RNA", at positions 28 to 507 of the family's 1533-position model. The record is from RNAcentral.